This 77-nucleotide transfer RNA is filed under the name Thermoprotei archaeon. RNAcentral's name for it is "tRNA-Lys". It matches the Rfam family "tRNA". From Rfam's summary of the family: Transfer RNA (tRNA) molecules are approximately 80 nucleotides in length. Their secondary structure includes four short double-helical elements and three loops (D, anti-codon, and T loops). Further hydrogen bonds mediate the characteristic L-shaped molecular structure. tRNAs have two regions of fundamental functional importance: the anti-codon, which is responsible for specific mRNA codon recognition, and the 3' end, to which the tRNAs corresponding amino acid is attached (by aminoacyl-tRNA synthetases). tRNAs cope with the degeneracy of the genetic code in two manners: having more than one tRNA (with a specific anti-codon) for a particular amino acid; and 'wobble' base-pairing, i.e. permitting non-standard base-pairing at the 3rd anti-codon position. The record is from RNAcentral. Lineage: Archaea; Thermoproteati; Thermoproteota; Thermoprotei.
GGGCCCGUAGCUCAGCCCGGUAGAGCGGCGGGCUUUUAGCGCGGAGGUCCCGGGUUCAAAUCCCGGCGGGCCCGCCA